Molecule: long non-coding RNA, 795 nt
Organism: Prionailurus viverrinus (fishing cat)
Lineage: Eukaryota; Metazoa; Chordata; Mammalia; Carnivora; Felidae
Exons: 4
Source: RefSeq, a predicted model, not a curated record
GCUCACCCUCUGGGAGGAAAGGAAGCGAGGAUCGCGCGGCCGGAGAGCGAGGAGACGCUUGGAGUCCAGGGCUCGGGCCGCCCACACCUCCUCCUGUGGCGGACACGGCACAGCGGACGGCGCACCGGCCGCAUCCGCGACCCUGCGCGCAGGGAGCAGGAGGAGAAUGGCUCAAGGAGACUUGAUUUUCUUGGAUUUGCUGCAAUUCCUUAAACCGAACCAGGCUUUCGGGGCGUUAAAGGAAAUUACCGUCUACAGGUGGCAGUGUGGAAGCCAAAACGGGAGCUUCCAGAAGUGGUUUCUGAAAAAUAAGAGUGAAUAUGCACGAGGGAGCUCGGACAGGAAUCACAAAAACCGCAGGGUCUUCCUCUGAGCCAACGGAGGAGGCAGAUUGGGGAGGCCUGAUGUGGACGGUGGCGGGCCUCCUUGUCCUUCCAGAAACCGUAAUGGCAGCCGUGUCCUGUCUUCCAGAGGUAUGAGCUGUGAAGAUGAGCCUUUCCUUGACUAUUCUUGGGUAAGGGUGAGGGAGGAGCAACAGAGGGUGGGAGCCCCUCUUUUCCUUCUCCCUGCAGGAGUGAGUGAUCUCCAUUCUGUCCCGGAAAAUGGCCGCCCCCACCCCCGGCCCACCCUAAGGCGGGCCUUGCCAGGCUCUGCGGCUGUUUUUCCUCCCAGGAAAGCCCAGCAGGGUGCCGUGGGGUGGGUGAGGGCAGGAGGAUUGCCCGUGGCCGUGCCCAACAGCUUGAAGGAGAGACCUGAGGUGUCUGGGGGAAAUGCCUGUGUGCUUGGAAUGUGACU